GACCUACGGGGGGCAGCAGUGGGGAAUAUUGCACAAUGGGGGGAACCCUGAUGCAGCGACGCCGCGUGAGCGAAGAAGUAUUUCGGUAUGUAAAGCUCUAUCAGCAGGGAAGAAAAUGACGGUACCUGACUAAGAAGCCCCGGCUAACUACGUGCCAGCAGCCGCGGUAAUACGUAGGGGGCAAGCGUUAUCCGGAUUUACUGGGUGUAAAGGGUGCGCAGGCGGCCUGUUAAGUCAGCGGUAAAAGCCCGGGGCUCAACCCCGGCGAGCCGUUGAAACUGGCGGGCUGGAGGUGGAGAGAAGUA
This 305-nucleotide ribosomal RNA is filed under the name uncultured bacterium. RNAcentral describes it as "bacterial SSU rRNA". It matches the Rfam family "Bacterial small subunit ribosomal RNA", at positions 334 to 659 of the family's 1533-position model. The record is from RNAcentral.